AGUCAGGUGGCUUAGUGGUUAGCACGUUCGCCUCACACCAAAGUCCAGGGUCCGGGGUUCGAGUCCCACCGUGGCCC
Ameiurus melas (black bullhead) is the source of this 77-nucleotide non-coding RNA. The record is from the annotation of a GenBank genome assembly. NCBI's taxonomy places the organism in Eukaryota, Metazoa, Chordata, Actinopteri, Siluriformes, Ictaluridae.